Molecule: ribosomal RNA, 461 nt
Filed under: uncultured bacterium
Lineage: Bacteria
Description: bacterial SSU rRNA
Rfam family: Bacterial small subunit ribosomal RNA
Source: RNAcentral
ACGUAGUUUGAUCCGUGGCUACGAGAACGACGCUGGCGGCAUGCUUAACACAUGCAAGUCGAACGAGUACCUUCGGGUCUAGUGGCGCACGGGUGCGUAACGCGUGGGAAUCUGCCCUUUGCCACGGAAUAACUCAGAGAAAUUUGUGCUAAUACCGUAUAAUGUCGCAAGACCAAAGAUUUAUCGGCAAAGGAUGAGCCCGCGUAGGAUUAGCUUGUUGGUAAGGUAAGAGCUUACCAAGGCGACGAUCAGUAUCUGGUUUGAGAGGACGAUCAGACACACUGGAACUGAGACACGGUCCAGACUCCUACGGGAGGCAGCAGUGGGGAAUUUUCCGCAAUGGGCGAAAGCCUGACGGAGCAAUACCGCGUGAGGGAAGACUGCCUAUGGGUUGUAAACCUCUUUUUUCAGGGAGGAAUAAAUGACGUGUACCUGAAGAAUAAGCAUCGGCUAACUCCGUG